This 201-nucleotide small RNA is filed under the name Chelonoidis abingdonii (Abingdon island giant tortoise). RNAcentral describes it as "TUC338 (ENSCABG00000019216.1)". Lineage: Eukaryota; Metazoa; Chordata; Testudines; Testudinidae. The record is from RNAcentral.
UUGACAUCUCUGGAAAGUUAAGUCCUCCAUUUAAACCACAGAACAGAGUAAAACAUGGGUAACAGCAGUCCCCGCUUCCCCACACUGUCCCCCUGCCCUGAACUGGUGGGAUCUCUAGGCCCUAGGGUAACCCAUUCUCGCUUGUGUUUAAAUGUCAGUAAGUUACUAACACACAAGACUGCUCUUCAAUCCAGGGUUACA